ACCAAGAAGGAAACGCUAAUGAGUGGGCAAAAGACGCAGAUAGGGAGGAAAGAGAAGGCCGCCUGAGAAAGGAAGAAAGAUGACCCUAAUCCUGUUUCCUCACAGAGAAAACAGAAGCAACCAGAAAAGAGAUUCAAACGCCACACGUAUGUCCUUCCAGCACCCACGUAUGUCCCUGUCUUCCGCCUCUCAUCUGCUGUGAAUGAACACACACUCCCAGCUAAAGCUACACCUUCCAGCUACACACAGAGCCCUGUACUGUGCAGAGUCCAGCUGUCAACCCACAAUUCUCACCCUACUCCCCCUUGGCGCCAUCAAUAAAGGCUAGGGUCUUUCACAGAAGCUGGAAAUGAUUGUUUACAGAAGAUCCCAAAGAGUCUCCUGCCUCUGCCCCCUCGCACUGGGGUUACAGGUGUGAGCAACAACGCCCAGUUUUUACAUGGGUGCCGAGGAUCUGAACCCAGUUCCUCACACUUGUUCAGCAAUCCCUUUCACCACUGAGUUUCCCCCCCCCCCACCAGUUCCUUUCAAGAUUCGUUUUUACGAGCAAAAAUGAUAAGAACUUAAAGUAGAUAAUGAAUGAGCAAGGAUGAAAUCAAUGCAGCACUCCGGCCGCUGACCGCUGUGUAACAUCCACCCCCAAAGUCAGACGCUACAAAUGAUAUCGUUUACUUACUGCAUUCCAGGCUGCCAUCUGAACAGGCCUCAGUAGGGGCAGCUUGUGUCUGCGCCACACGCUGUCAGCUGGGGCAAAUCAAGCCAAAGCUGUCGCGUGUGCCUGCACGUUCGUGCUUUUAGCAUGUCAGGGAUCCUCCUCCGUCUCACAGAGUCUGACUUUCAAGCAUUGUUAGGCUUUAUUCUCAAAACAGUUCUUGGAAGCUAUGAGAACCCUCUUGCUUUUCUCAAGUUGAAUGGCCAAGGUAGCAAAGA
Alexandromys fortis (reed vole) is the source of this 930-nucleotide long non-coding RNA. RefSeq lists it as uncharacterized. The record is from RefSeq and is a predicted model, not a curated record. Lineage: Eukaryota; Metazoa; Chordata; Mammalia; Rodentia; Cricetidae. The transcript has 3 exons.